GUGUAAUUUUGAGAGUGAAAACAUGAAACAACUAUAGGAAAAUGUUUGGCAAAGUUAGAGUAUACCCACUUCUCCAAGCACCACUAUACCACUGACAAUAAAAGUCACCACACUCAAUAACAGACAGACAGACAGACAGUGAGACAGACAGAGGCAUUCAAUGAGAGACAGAGAGACAGGCAUACAAUGAGACUCAAUGAGAGACAGGCAGACAGGCUUAAGAUGACACUAGAAAGCAAGCUUAAGAUGACACUAGAAAGCAAGCUUAAGAUGACACUAGAAAGACAGGCUUAAGAUGACACUAGAAAGACAGGCUUAAGAUGACACUAGAAAGACAGGCUUAAGAUGACACUAGAAGGACAGGCUUAAGAUGCCACUAGAAAGACAGGCUUAAGAUGCCAUUAGAAAGACAGGCUUAAGAUGACACUAGAAAGACAGGCUUAAGAUGACACUAGAAAGAAAGGCUUAAGAUGACACUAGAAAGACAGGCUUAAGAUGACACUAGAAAGACAGGCUUAAGAUGACACUAGAAAGAAAGGCUUAAGACGACACUAGAAAGACAAGGUUAAGACGCCACUAGAAAGACAAGGUUGAGACGACACUAGAAAGACAGGGUUAAGAUGCCACUAGAAAGACAGGCUUAAGAUGACACUAGAAAGACAGGGUUAAGAUGACACUAGAAAGACAGGCUAAAGAUGACACUAUAAAGACAAGCUUAAGAUAAGACUCAAUUAGACCACUAAUACAUUGGCCUAACUCUUUGUAAGUGUUAGAGAAAGUACUCUGAGACUUACAAAGAUCCAACAGCAUAUGCAGAGGUAAUUA
Oncorhynchus tshawytscha (Chinook salmon) is the source of this 825-nucleotide long non-coding RNA. The record is from Ensembl. Lineage: Eukaryota; Metazoa; Chordata; Actinopteri; Salmoniformes; Salmonidae.